This 460-nucleotide ribosomal RNA is filed under the name uncultured bacterium. RNAcentral's name for it is "partial 16S ribosomal RNA". It matches the Rfam family "Bacterial small subunit ribosomal RNA", at positions 338 to 795 of the family's 1533-position model. The record is from RNAcentral.
CCUACGGGAGGCAGCAGUGAGGAAUAUUGGUCAAUGGGCGCAAGCCUGAGCCAGCCAAGUAGCGUGAAGGAUGAAGGCUCUACGGGUUGUAAACUUCUUUUAUAAGGGAAUAAAGUGAGGCACGUGUGCCUUUUUGUAUGUACUUUAUGACUAAGGAUCGGCUAACUCCGUGCCAGCAGCCGCGGUAAUACGGAGGAUCCGAGCGUUAUCCGGAUUUAUUGGGUUUAAAGGGAGCGUAGAUGGGUUGUUAAGUCAGAUGUGAAAGUCUGCGGCUCAACCAUAUAAUUGCAAUUGAUACUGGCAGCCUUGAGUACAUUAGAGGUAGGCGGAAUUCGUGGUGUAGCGGUGAAAUGCUUAGAUAUCACGAAGAACUCCGAUUGCGAAGGCAGCCUACUAAACUGCCACUGACAUUGAUGCGCGAAAGUGUGGGGAUCAAACAGGAUUAGAUACCCCUGUAGUC